AGGAUCUACAGUAUACUAUAUGUGGUGGGUGGGUUGUUUUUCUCAUUUCUGUUGGUUCUUUUACCCACUACGAAUUCCUUGUUGUUUUGUUCAUCUUUUUUUUUCAGGCCAGUUCAGUGCACUCUUAGUCAGAUUUGAACUGGUCCACCCACCUCUAGUCCAGAACCUCACCCCACCCACCCCCGCUCAUGCUAGUGCGUGUGUUGGGGUUUGUGAUUAUUUAGCAAAGUGCCAAAAGAAGCUAGCCACUCCAGUAACAGAGUAGAGUGCUGAGUUUAAUUGUUGCAGUUAUUUAAGGAACACGCAUGGAGAUCGUUGUACAAUCUAAACUAAAUAAUGUUAUUGGUGAAGUACAUUUGAGAUAGAAAAGACCUAGUCCUAUCUAUCAGCUACAUAACUGAUAGAGAGGGAGAUGUUUCCAUCAGUUCUCUUCCAUCAGGAAGAGAACUGACUCACUACAGGAAGUACCAAGUACCUGAGGAGUCAAGGCAAGGGUCAUAGAGUAGAGGCAAGCAGGGACAGAUAAGGAGACCCUCACUAACUACCUCUUCUUUCAAUGCUCCUAGUGGUCAUUAGGAUAGUUGCUGCAAAAGGUUGAUGCACUGGAACUCCAUCUCCAACACUAUGUAAUUCUGCCUCUCCUGAUCACAAAAAUAUAGUAUUUGUCUGCAUGAGACAGAUGGGGAACCUGAGGAGAGAUCUUCCCUGUGAUUAGGAAUGCUGCAUUUUUAAAAGAGAAAAGGAUAUUGGGAGUUUCAUUCCGGAACACCCAUAUUGUCUUGUCUAAUUCUCAGCCCUCAGAGUUCAUACAGGGAAUGCAAGGGAAAUAUUCACAUAAGAAAUCAUUACAAAGUAUAAAGAGUUAAUUGCAUAGAGAACAGCCUUUUCUCUUAAAAAAAAUUAAUAUAGCAGUGAUUAUUCUUCUGCCUGGAGCAAAUAUUCAUUUUAUUAUGAAGAUUUUUGACAAUUUAAUCUGGGGAACACAAGAUGAAAGUAGAGCUUAUUAGAACUGUGUGUGCUAAGCAAAUGAUUAAUAGCUCAGACGGCUAUCAUGAAAACCAAGCACUUUCUCUAUAUGGUUUGCAAAUGGUACUUCAGACUGUACUUAAGUGUAGCCACCUGUGGAGUGAGAUAUGGAAAUAGCUUAUAGAAUAGCAUUAUUUUAGACAGGGCUGUCCAGAGGAGGGUGUGGGGCUAGGAACAUAUUGGCAUGUGUGAAGCUUCCUUAACAUUUCAGUAUAAAAUAUACUACUACUACUAGAACAAAUAUUUAUAUACCACUCUUCGUUGAAGCCACCUAAUGGCGCAGCGGGGAAAUGCUUGACUAACAAGCAGAAGGUUGCUGGUUCAAAUCCCUGCUGGUACUAUAUUGGGCAGCAGCGAUAUAGGAAGAUGCUGAAAGGCAUCAUCUCAUACUGCACAGGAGGAGGUAAUGGUAAACCCCUCCUGUAUUCUAUCAAAAGAAAACCACAGGGCUCUGUGGGCGCCAGGAGUUGAAAUCGACUUGACAGCACACUUUACCUUAAUUCAUCGAAAGUUACAUAGAAAAAUUAAUGAUACAUAAUUAAGAUGGUCCCCUGUCCUGACAAUCUAAAAAGAAACAAAAGGCAGAUGCCAGCAAUAACUACUGAAGGGAUGCUGUGCUUCUGUUGGAUGUGGCUAGUUGAUCUUCCCCUGCUAAAUAUAAGAGAAUCACCACUUUAAAAAGGUGUCUGCUCAGUUAGCAGGGGUUAUAAAUAAAUUAUAUGUCACACACACACACACACACACACACACACACACACACACACACACCACAGCCCGGAGUGGUGUUUGUCUUUAUCCUCACAACAACCCUGUGAGGUAACACAGGCUGAGAGAGAAGUGACUGGGCCAAAGUCACCCAGUGAAUUUCAUGGCUGAAUGGGGAUUUGAACUCGAUUCUUCAAGGUUAAUAAGAGCACUUAAAUAAUUAAAGAAGUUUUGUUUAUAAUUGAUGACUUCCUGCUAAUUAAAACUUUUUUAAAAUUGUGUCUUUAAGGAAUGACACAUUUAACCAAAUCAACCAUUUCAGCAAUGCCAAGAACCAAAGGGGUGUUAUAAAACUGGUGGUGGUGGUGGUGGUGGGAGAUUUCUUUUUCUACCCCAGCUGCACUUCCUAAGUGCACAGGUAAGGAGAGCACUGCUAAUUAAUACUGUCUGGAGACAUGGAAUAAAAGUUCAAAAUAAAGUAGUUUAUUUAGGAAAUCCAUCAGAGAGAUUGUUAAAGCCUACAUGCCUUGCUGCUAGCUACAUAUAGGAAGAGGGGAGGGAGAAGGAGGAAGUCUCUCUGUCCAGGUGAGACAAUGAAACCUGAGAAUCCAUCACAGUGGGGGCUGGUAGGCAUUAGGGCUAGAGGGGAGCAGAGGAGAUCCCACUCACCAAGGCAAGAGCUUCCCACCCAAAAUGGGGAGAGAGAAGGCAGGGGCCAAAAGGCAGAAAGCAGAGAGUAGGGGAAGGAGAAAGAGAAAAGAGAAAAGAAAAAGAGAACUCAAGGGGCAGAAAGCCAGAACUUGCAUCUCCUCAACAAAGAAACCAAACAAACAAGCUACCAGAGAAACUCAAACUUACCAGUACAGGCAGGCAGCACAUCCUCCAAAGCAAGAAGCUUUCUCCAGCCUCUCCUCGCCUGUUGCUUCCUUCUUUGGUCUUAUUGGCUGGAACAGCCUGUAAUCAAGCUGUUCCAGCCAGUUUGAGCCCUAAGGGGCGCCAGCCUGGCAUCAACCAGGAACUUUAAAAAAAGGUAGAAAAAACAUUCCCUGAAACCACCAGGAAGUGCAUUUUUAAAUCAUUUUUUUAACUGGCUCUGUGCUUUGGAGGAUUUGCUCCCUUUACUGAUGAACGACCUCUGGUCUAUCAGUCUAAAAACAGGUUGCUUACCUGUAUGAUUAUUCUUGAGUGAUCCUAGGUAUUCACACAACUGGGAUACGCACCUGCGCAGGAGACCAUUCAGGAAGAUUCUACAAGCUUCGUGUGGCGCUCCCAACUCCGCCCACGGCAUGCAUGCAUCCACUGACAUUGGCAGUCAGAGAACUGCUCUCCUCAGUUCCUGGAUGACUGCCAGACGUCAGCGACCAUUGUAAGUGGAACUGGAGAGGACACAAAGAGCCUGCUAUUCUUUCGGAAUGGAUGAGUCCUGUCAAGAUAGAAGGCAAGUGCCCUGCAAACAUCUAACUUGUGGAGGGAUCAUUCCAAGUCAGACAGUGGGUCACAGAAGAAGGCCGGCAGGAACACAUCUUGGAUGAUGUGAAAACUUGAAUUUAUUUUGGGAAUAAAGGAAAGAUCCAAAUGCA
Hemicordylus capensis (graceful crag lizard) is the source of this 3311-nucleotide long non-coding RNA. RefSeq lists it as uncharacterized. NCBI's taxonomy places the organism in Eukaryota, Metazoa, Chordata, Lepidosauria, Squamata, Cordylidae. The transcript has 2 exons. The record is from RefSeq and is a predicted model, not a curated record.